GGCGAGGCCGAAAGGCGUAGUCGAUGCACAACCGGUUGAUAUUCCGGUACUACCGUGUACGCGCCCAAACCAAGUUCCGGUUGCUAAGGGGCUGUCACUUCGGUGACGAACCGACCCACUGGAAGGCGGUUAGCAAUGAGGGGACGCAGGAGGGUAGGUGAGCCCAGGCGAUGGUUGUCCUGGGGUAAGCGCGUAGGGCGAGGUCUAGGCAAAUCCGGACCUCAUGAAGCCUGAGACGCAAUGCCGAUCCGUAUGAGGAGAAGUCACUCAUCCCAUGCUGCCAAGAAAAGCCUCUAGCGAGCUUGCACGGUACCCGUACCCCAAACCGACACAGGUGGGCAGGUAGAGAAUACCAAGGCGAUCGGGAGAACUGUGGUUAAGGAACUCGGCAAAAUGCCUCCGUAACUUCGGGAGAAGGAGGACCCCAUUAGGGUGAAGGACCUCGCGUCCGGAGCUCGAAGGGGUGGCACAGACCAGGG
Molecule: ribosomal RNA, 479 nt
Filed under: uncultured bacterium
Lineage: Bacteria
Description: bacterial LSU rRNA
Rfam family: Bacterial large subunit ribosomal RNA
Source: RNAcentral